AUUGAACGCUGGCGGCAGGCUUAACACAUGCAAGUCGAACGAGUGGCGGACGGGUGAGUAAUGCCUGGGAAUCUGCCUUAUGGAGGGGGAUAACAACUGGAAACGGUCGCUAAUACCGCAUACCAUCAGCUGUGCCCAGAUGGGAUUAGCUUGUUGGUGGGGUAAUGGCUCACCAAGGCGACGAUCCCUAGCUGGUCUGAGAUGAUGACCAGCCACACUGGAACGGAGACACGGCCCGGUCUCCUACGGGAGGCAGCAGUGGGGAAUAGGGCACAAUGGGCGCAACCCUGAUGCAGCCAUGCCGCGUGUAUGAAGAAGGCCUUCGGGUUGUAAAGUUCUUUCGGCGAUGAGGCGUUACCCACAGAAGAAGCACCGGCUAACUCCGUGCCAGCAGCCGCGGUAAUUC
This 406-nucleotide ribosomal RNA is filed under the name uncultured bacterium. RNAcentral describes it as "partial 16S ribosomal RNA". It matches the Rfam family "Bacterial small subunit ribosomal RNA", at positions 30 to 526 of the family's 1533-position model. The record is from RNAcentral.